RNAcentral lists this ribosomal RNA (466 nucleotides) under uncultured Veillonellaceae bacterium. RNAcentral describes it as "bacterial SSU rRNA". It matches the Rfam family "Bacterial small subunit ribosomal RNA", at positions 74 to 517 of the family's 1533-position model. The record is from RNAcentral. Lineage: Bacteria; Bacillati; Bacillota; Negativicutes; Veillonellales; Veillonellaceae.
UUUAUUUCGGUAAAUUCUUAGUGGCGAACGGGUGAGUAACGCGUAGGCAACCUGCCCUUUGGAUGGGGACAACAUUCCGAAAGGAGUGCUAAUACCGAAUGUGAUCCAUUUCUCGCAUGAGAGAUGGAUGAAAGAUGGCCUCUAUUUAUAAGCUAUCGCCAAAGGAUGGGCCUGCGUCUGAUUAGUUAGUUGGUGGGGUAACGGCUCACCAAGACGAUGAUCAGUAGCCGGUCUGAGAGGAUGAACGGCCACAUUGGGACUGAGACACGGCCCAAACUCCUACGGGAGGCAGCAGUGGGGAAUCUUCCGCAAUGGACGAAAGUCUGACGGAGCAACGCCGCGUGAGUGAUGAAGGUUUUCGGACUGUAAAACUCUGUUGUCAGGGACGAAGGUGCGAUCUGCGAAUAGUUGAUCGUAUUGACGGUACCUGACGAGGAAGCCACGGCUAACUACGUGCCAGCAGCCG